This 339-nucleotide long non-coding RNA is filed under the name Ananas comosus (pineapple). RNAcentral describes it as "long non-coding RNA (ACOM_LNC005788)". Lineage: Eukaryota; Viridiplantae; Streptophyta; Magnoliopsida; Poales; Bromeliaceae. The record is from RNAcentral.
UAUAAUUGUAUCAAAAUGGUUUAUAUAUAACUUGUGUUGGAAUUAGAGGGCAGUAAAAAUUUACAAACUGAAUAGCCAAUGUAUCCUGAAAUCGAAAUCGGAUUGGGUUGCUUGUUUUACUAGCCUCCUUGGAUCGUCCUUAUCUCAAUACUUUUAGAUCUCCCACAUAUCUCGUCUUCUCCCACGCCUACAUCUUAUGUCACAAAUCGGAUGUGUCGGACACGGAUCAGAUGCAAAUCGAAGAGGGCUAUAAGAGUCCUCUUCUAUAUCCACACUCCGAAAACUAGAAAACGUAGGCGGAAAUCCAAAGAGAAAGAAGAGAUCAUAGAUUCCUUUUCA